AUUGAACGCUGGCGGCAGGCUUAACACAUGCAAGUCGAGCGGAGUGAUGGUGCUUGCACUAUCACUUAGCGGCGGACGGGUGAGUAAUGCUUAGGAAUCUGCCUAUUAGUGGGGGACAACAUCUCGAAAGGGAUGCUAAUACCGCAUACGUCCUACGGGAGAAAGCAGGGGAUCACUUGUGACCUUGCGCUAAUAGAUGAGCCUAAGUCGGAUUAGAUAGUGGGUGGGGUAAAGGCCUACCAAGGCGACGAUCUGUAGCGGGUCUGAGAGGGUGAGCCGCCACACUGGGACUGAGACACGGCCCAGACGCCUACGGGAGGCAGCAGUGGGGAAUAUUGGACAAUGGGGGGAACCCUGAUCCAGCCAUGCCGCGUGUGUGAAGAAGGCCUUAUGGUUGUAAAGCACUUUAAGCGAGGAGGAGGCUCUUUUGGUUAAUACCCAAGAUGAGUGGACGUUACUCGCAGAAUAAGCACCGGCUAACUCUGUGCCAGCAGCCGCGGUAA
This 503-nucleotide ribosomal RNA is filed under the name uncultured bacterium. Its description in RNAcentral is "partial 16S ribosomal RNA". It matches the Rfam family "Bacterial small subunit ribosomal RNA", at positions 30 to 523 of the family's 1533-position model. The record is from RNAcentral.